Molecule: ribosomal RNA, 921 nt
Filed under: Halomonas sp. MCCC1A08148
Lineage: Bacteria; Pseudomonadati; Pseudomonadota; Gammaproteobacteria; Oceanospirillales; Halomonadaceae
Description: bacterial SSU rRNA
Rfam family: Bacterial small subunit ribosomal RNA
Source: RNAcentral
GGCACCCUGAUCCAGCCAUGCCGCGUGUGUGAAGAAGGCCCUCGGGUUGUAAAGCACUUUCAGCGAGGAAGAACGCCUAGUGGUUAAUACCCGUUAGGAAAGACAUCACUCGCAGAAGAAGCACCGGCUAACUCCGUGCCAGCAGCCGCGGUAAUACGGAGGGUGCAAGCGUUAAUCGGAAUUACUGGGCGUAAAGCGCGCGUAGGUGGCUUGAUAAGCCGGUUGUGAAAGCCCCGGGCUCAACCUGGGAACGGCAUCCGGAACUGUCAGGCUAGAGUGCAGGAGAGGAAGGUAGAAUUCCCGGUGUAGCGGUGAAAUGCGUAGAGAUCGGGAGGAAUACCAGUGGCGAAGGCGGCCUUCUGGACUGACACUGACACUGAGGUGCGAAAGCGUGGGUAGCAAACAGGAUUAGAUACCCUGGUAGUCCACGCCGUAAACGAUGUCGACCAGCCGUUGGGUGCCUAGAGCACUUUGUGGCGAAGUUAACGCGAUAAGUCGACCGCCUGGGGAGUACGGCCGCAAGGUUAAAACUCAAAUGAAUUGACGGGGGCCCGCACAAGCGGUGGAGCAUGUGGUUUAAUUCGAUGCAACGCGAAGAACCUUACCUACCCUUGACAUCUACAGAAGCCGGAAGAGAUUCUGGUGUGCCUUCGGGAACUGUAAGACAGGUGCUGCAUGGCUGUCGUCAGCUCGUGUUGUGAAAUGUUGGGUUAAGUCCCGUAACGAGCGCAACCCUUGUCCUUAUUUGCCAGCACGUAAUGGUGGGAACUCUAAGGAGACUGCCGGUGACAAACCGGAGGAAGGUGGGGACGACGUCAAGUCAUCAUGGCCCUUACGGGUAGGGCUACACACGUGCUACAAUGGCCGGUACAAAGGGCUGCGAGCUCGCGAGAGUCAGCGAAUCCCUUAAAGCCGGUCUCA